Molecule: ribosomal RNA, 305 nt
Filed under: uncultured bacterium
Lineage: Bacteria
Description: bacterial SSU rRNA
Rfam family: Bacterial small subunit ribosomal RNA
Source: RNAcentral
GCCUACGGGACGCCGCAGUCGCGCCUCCUUCCCACUUUUUUCCCCCCUGAUGGUGCGACGCCGCGUGGGGGAAUGAAGGUCUUCGGAUUGUAAACCCCUGUCAUGUGGGAGCAAAUUAAAAAGAUAGUACCACAAGAGGAAGAGACGGCUAACUCUGUGCCAGCAGCCGCGGUAAUACAGAGGUCUCAAGCGUUGUUCGGAAUCACUGGGCGUAAAGCGUGCGUAGGCUGUUUCGUAAGUCGUGUGUGAAAGGCGCGGGCUCAACCCGCGGACGGCACAUGAUACUGCGAGACUAGAGUAAUGGG